UACCAGCUCUUCGAGUGGUCGGGAUAAUUAUUGGGCUUAAAGUGUCCGUAGCCGGUUUAGUAAGUUCCUGGUAAAAUCGGGUAGCUUAACUAUCUAUAUGCUAGGAAUACUACUAUACUAGAGGGCGGGAGAGGUCUGAGGUACUACAGGGGUAGGGGUGAAAUCUUAUAAUCCUUGUAGGACCACCAGUGGCGAAGGCGUCAGACUGGAACGCGCCUGACGGUGAGGGACGAAAGCCAGGGGAGCGAACCGGAUUAGCUACCCGGGUAGUCCUGGCCGUAAACGAUGCAUACUAGGUGAUGGCACGGCCAUGAGCCGUGUCAGUGCCGUAGGGAAACCGUUAAGUGUGCCGCCUGGGAAGUACGGUCGCAAGGCUAAAACUUAAAGGAAUUGGCGGGGAGCACCACAAGGGGUGAAGCCUGCGGUUC
RNAcentral lists this ribosomal RNA (428 nucleotides) under uncultured archaeon. Its description in RNAcentral is "bacterial SSU rRNA". It matches the Rfam family "Archaeal small subunit ribosomal RNA", at positions 474 to 903 of the family's 1478-position model. The record is from RNAcentral.